AAAUCCCGCGUCGCCCAACACCUGCCCCGACUGCCCAGCACCACCCCCGACAGCCAUCACUCAGUCCAACGCCACCCCCUGCCGCCCAUCCCUCUGUCCUGCGCCGCCCCUCGUUCCUCCUCUGUCGCCACUUGAAUUUACACAUCCCGUGUCGCCCCAGCACCCGCAUCGCGUCCCCUGCCCAGCGCCACCCCGCAAUGGCCAUCCCUCGGCCCAGCGACACCCAACGAUGGCUCUCAAAACCUGUUGCGAUCUCACAAGAACGUUUGUCAUGCCUUCUAGGAUGUGUAUCAACCCAAUACAUAAUAAGAAAGGAAUCCUGCAUCACUCUGUUAAUGCAAGUUUAAAGGAAAGAUUCAAUGGAAGAUUAUGUUGAGAUAGUGUGAUUGAGAAGCUGCUUCAUGUUACAAAGGAAUUAGAACCAGAAUGUGCCCAUAUUGAUGCUGUGUAACUCAAUGGAGAUUUUGCCAAGUCAUGGAGAUGAUGAAGACAUGUGGAGAUGCACUUGCUGUUGCUUGUGUAGAUUCUAGGCUAGGAGUUUGGACCUUGGUGUGCAAACACUUGUUUCUUUGUGGGGAUGUUGUACUGUAAUUUUUGUACAGUUUGUUGAUGCUAUAAGUUGGCCCAUUUUAUUGUGUCAAUGCUUGCACAUUCUUGACACCAGCAAAUUAGGGUGGUUGCACUGUUAUGUGGAUGGCAAAUCAUAUUUAUGGUUGUUAUGUGAGCAGGUUGUCAUGCAUUUCCAAAUUGAUUGCACAAA
Molecule: long non-coding RNA, 760 nt
Organism: Juglans microcarpa x Juglans regia
Lineage: Eukaryota; Viridiplantae; Streptophyta; Magnoliopsida; Fagales; Juglandaceae
Exons: 4
Source: RefSeq, a predicted model, not a curated record